This 66-nucleotide transfer RNA is filed under the name Tribolium confusum (confused flour beetle). RNAcentral describes it as "tRNA-Asp". Lineage: Eukaryota; Metazoa; Arthropoda; Insecta; Coleoptera; Tenebrionidae. The record is from RNAcentral.
AAGGAGUUAGUUAAACUAAUAACGUUAGCUUGUCGUGCUUAAAUUAAUAAAUAUUAUUACUCCUUA